AAAAAGUAGCACUUGAACAUGAAAGUUGAAAAUAGGCUAGCUAUGCAAAGAACAGAAAACAAAACAUUCCUUGUGGGUAGAAUUUGACAAGUUUUAAAAACAAAAAAGAUUAUGUAGGUGGCUCAUGAUGAAAAAAGUGGAUGCCUGUACUUGACAACCCUGAACAUUUAUUGUCUACUGCUAAGGUUUCCACUACAGAUGCUAGGAAAAAAGUAUUCUCACAUCUGUCUGUCUGAUUGUGCCAGCUAAAACUGAAGAGAGGAAUAAAAAAGAAAAACAUGUUAAUACAAGGGCAAACAUGGAGAGAGUAUUUUUACAACUCAGAAAUAAACUUGUAAACAGAACUCCAAAAAAAUCUUAAAAAAAUCAAUCACUUUCCUAUAUGCUAGUAAUGAAUAAGUAGAAUUUGAAUUUGAAUUUAAAAACACAACCAUUUUCAUUAGUACCAAAAAUAUACAUAUAUAGAGGUAUAAAUCUAACCAAAUAUGUAUGAAAGCUAUAUGAAGAAAACUAAAAACCUUUGAUAGAAAUUCUGAUUGGGGAGUUCCCAUCAUGGCUCAGCAGAAACUAAUCUGACUAGAAUCCACGAGGACACAGGUUCAAUUCCUGGCCUUGCUCAGUGGUUUAAGGAUCCAGUGUUGCUGUGAGCUUUGAUAUAGGUCACAGAUGUAGCUCAGAUCUGGCAUUGGUAUGGCUGUGGCAUAGACCAGCAGCUUAGCUCCGUUUGGACCCCUGGGAACCUCCAUAUGCCAUGUGUGUGGCCCUAAAAAGACAAAAAGAAAAAGAAAAAAAGAAAUUCGGAUUAAAACUCCAAGCAAAAUCAAAGAGGAGCUAAAUACAUGAAGAGGUAUUCUAUGUUCAUAGAUAGGAAGACUCGAUACUGUCAUUAUAUCAGUUCUUCCCACCUUGAUUAUAGAUUCAAUGUAAUCCCAAUCAAAAUCCCAGUAUUGCUUUGUAGAUAUCAAGAAACUAAUUCCAAAGUUUGCAUGGAAAGGCAAAAGACCAAAAAUUGCCAACACAAUAUCGAAAAACAAAGUUGAAAAUUUGACAUUAUCCAACUAAAAGAUUUGCUAUACAGCUACAGUAAACAAGGCAGUGUGGGAUUGGUAAAAGAAUAGACCCCUAGCCUGGGAACCUCCAUAUUCCAUGGGUGCAGCCCUAAAAGACAGAAACAUAAAUAAAUAAAUAAUGGGUCCAAGACCUUAACAGAUACCUCACCAAAGGAUAUAUACAGAUGGCAAAUUAGCCUAUGAUGAAAAUAAGCAUCAGAGUCAAAAGGAAAAAGCAAAUUAAAACAAUAAAUGGAUAUCACUAAACACUUAUUAGAAUGGCCAAACUCCAGAAUAUUGACAAUACCAAAUGCUGGUAAGGAUGUGAAACCAGAGGAACUCUUAUUCAUUGCUUGUAGGAAUGCAAAAUGGUCACUUUGAAAGACAAUUUGGAGGUUUCUUACAAAACUAAGCAUACUUUUGAUAUAAGAUCCAGUCGAUUAUGGUACAACCACUAUGGAAAACAGUAUGGGUGUAUCUUAGAAAACUAAAUAUAGAACUACCAUAUGACCCAGAAAUCCCACUCUUGGGCAUAUAUCCAGAGAAAACUUUCCUUGAUAAAGACACAUGCACACAUAUGUUCAUUGCAGCACUAUUCACAAUAGCCAAGACAUGGAAACUACCUAAAUGUCCAUUGACAGAUGAUUGAAUUAAGAAGAUGCAGUAUAUAUACACAAUGGAAUACUACUCAGCCAUAAAAAAAUAAUGCCAUUUGCAGCAACACGAAUGGAACUAGGGACUCUCAUACUAUGUAAAGUAAGUCAGAAAGAGAAAGACAAAUACCAUAUGGUAUCACUUAUACCUGGAGUCUAACAUAUGCACAGAUAAAGGCACAAAUAAACCCUUCCAUAGAAAAGAAACUCAUAGACUUGGAGAACAGACCUGAGGUUGCCAAGGGGAAGUGGGAGUGAGUGGGAUGGACUGGAAAUCUGGGGUUAAGAGAUGCAAACUAUUGCCUUUGGAAUGGAUAAACAAUGGGAUCCUUCUAUAUAGCACUGGGAACUAUAUCUAGUCACUUGUGAUGUAGCAUGAUGGAGGAUAAUGUGAAAAAAAGAAUGUAUAUGUUUGUGUGACUGGGUCACUUUGCUGCACAGUAGAAAAUUGACAGAACACUGUAAACCAAGUAUAAUGGAAAAAAUAAAAAUCGUUUUUAAAAAAAUUUAGUCAUUGUACUCCUUACUAUUUAACCACACAAAAAAACUGCACACAAAUGCUUGUAGUAGCUUUAUUCAUAAUUGCCAACUGAAAGCAACCAAUACGUCCCUCAGUAGAUGAGUGGUAUGUGCAAACAAUGAAAUGUUAUCUAGCUAUGAAUGACCUAUCAAGCCAUGAAAAGAUAUGAAAGGGAGUUCCCAUCGUGGGUCACCAGAAAUGAAACCUGACUAGUAUCCAUGAGAAUGCAGAUUUGAUCCCUGGCCACUUGGUGGGUUAAGGAUUCAGCAUUGCUAUGGCUGUGGUGUAGACCAGCAGCUACAGAUCUGAUUUGACUGCUAGCCUGGGAACUUUCAUAUGCUGUGAGUACAGCCCUAAAAUGACAAAAAAUAAAGAUAUGGAAGAACCAUGAAUGCAUAUUUCUAAAUGAAAGAAGUCAAUCUGGAAAGACUAUAUACUAUAUAAUUCCAAUUAGGUGACAUUUUCAAAAGGGCAAAACUGUGGUGACAAUAAAAAGGUGUUAGUGAGGAGGCAGGGAUGAAUAUAAAGAGCUCAGAGGAAUUUUAGGGCAACAAAAAUUAUUCUGGAUGAUUUUACAAUGGUGGAUACAUGCCAUUAGAAAUUUAUCAAGACCCACAGAAUGUACAAAAGUCUAUGAACCCUAAUGGAAUCUCUAGACUCUGGUCGGUAAUGCCUUACCAAAGUAUAUUUGUUAAUUGUAAUAAAUGUACUAAUCUCAGGGAUGUUAAUACAGAGGUCACAAGGGGUAUAUAGAAAAAUGUGCACCUUCUGCUCAAUUUUUCUGUGAAACUAAAAUUGUCUAAAAAAUAAAGUCUAUCUUUUAAAAUGAGGGACAGGAGUUCCCUGGUGGCCUAGCAGGUCAAAGAUCCAGCAUUGUUAUUGCUGUGGCUCAGGCCACUGCUGUGGCACAGGUUUGAUCCCUGGCCUGGGAAUUUCCACAGGCCCUAGGUGUGGCCAAAGAUAGAUAUGUAGAAAGAUAGAUAGAUAGAUAGAUAGAUAGAUAGAUAGAUAGAUAGAUAGAUAGAUAGAUAGUAUAAAGAAUGAGGGACAAAGAAAAAGUAAAGAUAACACCUAGAUUUUUGGCCUAAGUAACUAGGAGAAUGGUGGUGAAAAUACUGUGCUGGGGACAGCAGAAGAGAGACAGGUAUUUAGGGACAGGGCAAGAAUUCCCUUUUGUAAAUCACUCUACACAAUUUAACCCUUUAAAAAAAAGGAAUUCCCAUUGCGGCUCAGUGGUAAUGAGCCUGACUAGUAUCCAUGAGGACUCAGGUUCAAUCUCUGGUCUCCUUCAGUGGGUUAAGGAUCCGGCAUUGCCAUGAGCUGAGGUUAGGAUGCAGAGCAGUUCAGAUCCUGUGUUGCCAUGGCUGUGGUACAGGCCAGCAACUGCAGCUCUGAUUUGACCCCUGGGAACUUCCAAGUGGUGCAGGUGCAACCCUUAAAAGACCAAAAAAAAAUUUAACCCUUUCUUGUGUCUAGACUUGGAAAUAGGAUUACUCCCUCCCUCUUUGUGCAGAUACUUGAGUUGCUCUAAAUUCUUCUGCAUAUCUACUCAUACAGCUAAUUACCCUCUGAUAAAGAUUACUUCACGGUCCAAGAUGAGGUCACAUUAAGAAAGAAAUGCAAGCUA
Molecule: long non-coding RNA, 3849 nt
Filed under: Sus scrofa (pig)
Lineage: Eukaryota; Metazoa; Chordata; Mammalia; Artiodactyla; Suidae
Description: lncRNA (ENSSSCG00030028797.1)
Source: RNAcentral